RNAcentral lists this ribosomal RNA (548 nucleotides) under uncultured Glomeromycotina. Its description in RNAcentral is "SSU rRNA". It matches the Rfam family "Eukaryotic small subunit ribosomal RNA", at positions 550 to 1109 of the family's 1831-position model. Lineage: Eukaryota; Fungi; Glomeromycota. The record is from RNAcentral.
UUGGAGGGCAAGUCUGGUGCCAGCAGCCGCGGUAAUUCCAGCUCCAAUAGCGUAUAUUAAAGUUGUUGCAGUUAAAAAGCUCGUAGUUGAAUUUCGGGAUCAGUACGUUGGUCGUGCCUUAGGUACGUACUGGUGUUACUGGUCCCUACCUUCUGACGAACCAUCAUGUCAUUAAUUUGGUGUGGCGGGGAAUCAGGACUGUUACUUUGAAAAAAUUAGAGUGUUUAAGGCAGGCUCGCGCUUGAAUACAUUAGCAUGGAAUAAUGAAAUAGGACGUUGAUCCUAUUUUGUUGGUUUCUAGGAUUGACGUAAUGAUUAAUAGGGAUAGUUGGGGGCAUUAGUAUUCAAUUGUCAGAGGUGAAAUUCUUGGAUUUAUUGAAGACUAACUACUGCGAAAGCAUUUGCCAAGGAUGUUUUCAUUAAUCAAGAACGAAAGUUAGGGGAUCGAAGACGAUCAGAUACCGUCGUAGUCUUAWCCAUAAACUAUGCCGACUAGGGAUCGGAUGAUGUUAAUUUUUUAAUGACUCAUUCGGCGCCUUACGGGAAAC